This is a microRNA precursor of Gorilla gorilla gorilla (western lowland gorilla), 84 nucleotides long. It matches the Rfam family "mir-515 microRNA precursor family". The record is from Rfam. Lineage: Eukaryota; Metazoa; Chordata; Mammalia; Primates; Hominidae.
UCUCAGGCUGUGACACUCUAGAGGGAAGCGCUUUCUGUUUUCUGAAAAAGAAAGUGCAUCCUUUUAGAGUGUUACUGUUUGAGA